This 1638-nucleotide long non-coding RNA is filed under the name Marmota monax (woodchuck). The record is from RNAcentral. Lineage: Eukaryota; Metazoa; Chordata; Mammalia; Rodentia; Sciuridae.
UUUCUCUCUUGUGUUUUAUGUUGAUAGUUGUCAAAAAAGUUUUGCUUUUCUUCUGUCAUUCAUUAAAAAAAAUUAGGUCAAAAUAUCAGUGGAUUUUACUCUCUAAGAAAGCAAUUUUGGACUUGGGAUGCAGCUCAGUGGUAGAGUGCUUGCCUAGCAUGUGUCCUGGGGAAUCCCCAGUACCACCACCACCACCCCCAAAAAAGGGGGGGGGGUGAGCCAGUUUUUAUCUAGGCAGACUUAAAAUGGAUUUGGAAAGGGAUACCCCUUUUCAAAUGACUUUAAAAAAAGAAAAACAUUGUGCCUUUAGCUUAUGAAACCUGAAUUUAUCUUUAUUCCUGAGUUCUAUCUAUAACUAUUGUUUAAACAUUUUAAAGAGCUAGUAUAACAGGAUAGUAGGAAUUACCAAAAAUUUCCCUGAAUCUUAUAAAAGUAACUUUUUCCCCCCCAGAGGUUAUAGUAACAUCUGGAUCAAUGCUUAGGAAAGGCAUCUGUUAAUGCUUAGGAAAGGCUACCAUUAAGUGAUUUGAUCUUGUACAUUAUCAACCAAAAGUAGACAUUCACCUGUUUAUUGAAAAUCUUAAGUCUAGUUUAAGUCUAGCUAUUCUUUCAUUUCACAUCCAUUGAAUAUUUGUUUCAGGAGUUAGCAGUGUAAAGUUUUGUAAGUCAUGGUCAUUAGAUAUCAUAGAAGGCAACAGUAGAUUAUAAAUAUAGAUAUAGACGUACUAUGAGAUGUGUGGCUAGGGUGGUGGCUCAGUGGUAGAGCACUUGCCUAGCAUGUGUGACGCACUGGGUUUGAUUCUCAGCACUGCAUAUAAAUAAGUAAAAGGCCCAUUGACAACAAAAAAAAUUAUUUAAAAUAAAUAAAUAGAAGUUAUAAUCAUCAAACCAAUCUUCCAGAAACAACAUUGGCAUUUGAAAGGUGUUCUUUGCCCCUAAUAAACUAUUCCGCUUAUAAUUUUAAUACAUGAAUAAUGUGUAUGAUUUACAUUACUCCAGGAUAGAGAAGUUUGUGAAAUGUGUGUAUUAAUGGCUUUUUAGCUAAGAUUAAUGUCCACUGGAUAUGAUCAAAGUAACUUGAUUUAAGAAUUUUCGCCCAUGUACUUCUAAUUUUUAUUUAAAGAAAAUAUAAAAAUUUGAUGAGUGACUAAGUGUGUAUGAAUCAAAAGAAAAAAAAUGUGGUUUCCUUGUGUAUAUUUUUUGCCAUUUAUUAAAAACUCAAGCCUUUAAAUGAAAAAUUCCUGGUCAGGGCUGAAUUAAUAAACCAUUCUCUGAAUUAUUUCUUUAUAGACAUAUAGAUGUUGCUUGACUAAAAUGGAAUAGGUUUGGGGCUGGAGGUUUAUGUCAGUGGUGGAACACUUGCCUAGCAUACUCAAGGUUCUGGGUUUGAUCCUUAAUCCCCUCUCAAUUCCCCUUUCUCCCCCCGGAAAAAAAACGCAAUAAUUUACUAACAAUAUCUUUUCUCCUUCCCUGUAAUCCAUAGGUUCCCUAUAGGAUCCAGGUGUUUCAUCCUCCAUUAUGACUCAUGAAACUGAUUAGUAUCCAUUAAUAUGCAUUUUUGUCAGCAGUCUUACACCACACUAGUACAUUUGACAGGAUUGAGUGCUGAGGUGAUUUUUUUUUUUUUUUUUUGAAAAA